AUUUGAGCCCUUAAGCUGGACAUAACCUUCUCCCAAAUGGAAGUUAUGUUCGCCACAUAGAUAAUUGUAAAAAUAGGCUCCAGUGUAUAUAGAAGUGCCACUUUGCUGAGCAGUUCCAAAAGAGGAUCUGUUCUUGUUCCAAUAAGUACCUCAAAAAAUCUUCCGGAAAGUAAAGGCAGGGAAAGAGAACAAGUGGUGCAGAUGACAAGAGAGAAAACAGAAGCAAGGAGCUUCAACUUGUGCCGAGAAACAAGUUUCCAUAUAAAGCCCCAACGGAUAACUUCAAUUGGCUGAACCGCGACUAAACUAUCAUCCGAUUCUUCAAAUUUAGGGUCGCUUUCUGAAACAAAAGCAUCAAAAGCAGGGCCUGUAAUAUAAGCCGAAGAUACGACGGACCGCUUCAGUUUCCGGCAAUUAACAAAUUGUGAACGAAAUGGUUGUGCUGUUGAGAUGGAGAACUGAGAAGGUCCAUUGGAACGGAGGAGUACCAGCCGGUGGUUGCGCCGGCGUUGUAUAGGGAAAGGGGUGAGGGGGAGACCCCAGAAGGUGUUGGGUACAGUAG
This 562-nucleotide unclassified non-coding RNA is filed under the name Hevea brasiliensis (rubber tree). The record is from RNAcentral. Lineage: Eukaryota; Viridiplantae; Streptophyta; Magnoliopsida; Malpighiales; Euphorbiaceae.